This 172-nucleotide ribosomal RNA is filed under the name Lactiplantibacillus plantarum. RNAcentral's name for it is "Lactobacillus plantarum partial 16S ribosomal RNA". It matches the Rfam family "Bacterial small subunit ribosomal RNA", at positions 150 to 315 of the family's 1533-position model. The record is from RNAcentral. Lineage: Bacteria; Bacillati; Bacillota; Bacilli; Lactobacillales; Lactobacillaceae.
UUGGAAACAGGUGCUAAUACCGCAUAACAACUUGGACCGCAUGGUCCGAGUUUGAAAGAUGGCUUCGGCUAUCACUUUUGGAUGGUCCCGCGGCGUAUUAGCUAGAUGGUGAGGUAACGGCUCACCAUGGCAAUGAUACGUAGCCGACCUGAGAGGGUAAUCGGCCACAUUG